Molecule: ribosomal RNA, 1553 nt
Filed under: Klebsiella aerogenes
Lineage: Bacteria; Pseudomonadati; Pseudomonadota; Gammaproteobacteria; Enterobacterales; Enterobacteriaceae
Description: 16S ribosomal RNA
Rfam family: Bacterial small subunit ribosomal RNA
Source: RNAcentral
ACUUAAAUUGAAGAGUUUGAUCAUGGCUCAGAUUGAACGCUGGCGGCAGGCCUAACACAUGCAAGUCGAGCGGUAACACAGAGAGCUUGCUCUCGGGUGACGAGCGGCGGACGGGUGAGUAAUGUCUGGGAAACUGCCUGAUGGAGGGGGAUAACUACUGGAAACGGUAGCUAAUACCGCAUAACGUCGCAAGACCAAAGUGGGGGACCUUCGGGCCUCAUGCCAUCAGAUGUGCCCAGAUGGGAUUAGCUAGUAGGUGGGGUAAUGGCUCACCUAGGCGACGAUCCCUAGCUGGUCUGAGAGGAUGACCAGCCACACUGGAACUGAGACACGGUCCAGACUCCUACGGGAGGCAGCAGUGGGGAAUAUUGCACAAUGGGCGCAAGCCUGAUGCAGCCAUGCCGCGUGUAUGAAGAAGGCCUUCGGGUUGUAAAGUACUUUCAGCGAGGAGGAAGGCGUUAAGGUUAAUAACCUUGGCGAUUGACGUUACUCGCAGAAGAAGCACCGGCUAACUCCGUGCCAGCAGCCGCGGUAAUACGGAGGGUGCAAGCGUUAAUCGGAAUUACUGGGCGUAAAGCGCACGCAGGCGGUCUGUCAAGUCGGAUGUGAAAUCCCCGGGCUCAACCUGGGAACUGCAUUCGAAACUGGCAGGCUAGAGUCUUGUAGAGGGGGUAGAAUUCCAGGUGUAGCGGUGAAAUGCGUAGAGAUCUGGAGGAAUACCGGUGGCGAAGGCGGCCCCCUGGACAAAGACUGACGCUCAGGUGCGAAAGCGUGGGGAGCAAACAGGAUUAGAUACCCUGGUAGUCCACGCCGUAAACGAUGUCGACUUGGAGGUUGUGCCCUUGAGGCGUGGCUUCCGGAGCUAACGCGUUAAGUCGACCGCCUGGGGAGUACGGCCGCAAGGUUAAAACUCAAAUGAAUUGACGGGGGCCCGCACAAGCGGUGGAGCAUGUGGUUUAAUUCGAUGCAACGCGAAGAACCUUACCUACUCUUGACAUCCAGAGAACUUAGCAGAGAUGCUUUGGUGCCUUCGGGAACUCUGAGACAGGUGCUGCAUGGCUGUCGUCAGCUCGUGUUGUGAAAUGUUGGGUUAAGUCCCGCAACGAGCGCAACCCUUAUCCUUUGUUGCCAGCGAUUAGGUCGGGAACUCAAAGGAGACUGCCAGUGAUAAACUGGAGGAAGGUGGGGAUGACGUCAAGUCAUCAUGGCCCUUACGAGUAGGGCUACACACGUGCUACAAUGGCAUAUACAAAGAGAAGCGACCUCGCGAGAGCAAGCGGACCUCAUAAAGUAUGUCGUAGUCCGGAUUGGAGUCUGCAACUCGACUCCAUGAAGUCGGAAUCGCUAGUAAUCGUAGAUCAGAAUGCUACGGUGAAUACGUUCCCGGGCCUUGUACACACCGCCCGUCACACCAUGGGAGUGGGUUGCAAAAGAAGUAGGUAGCUUAACCUUCGGGAGGGCGCUUACCACUUUGUGAUUCAUGACUGGGGUGAAGUCGUAACAAGGUAACCGUAGGGGAACCUGCGGUUGGAUCACCUCCUUACCUUAAAGAA